AUGUGAUCGUCUCUCGCAUAUCAAUAAGCGGAGGAAAAGAAACUAACAAGGAUUCCCCUAGUAACGGCGAGUGAAGCGGGAAGAGCUCAAAUUUGAAAUCUUAAAGGGUUUCCCUUUACGAAUUGUAGUUUAAAGAAGUGUUUUCUGUUGAGGUUUUGGUAAAAGUUCUUUGGAAUAGGACAUCAUAGGAGGGUGAGAAUCCCGUAUUCGACCUUUACUUUCAACUUUGUGAUACACUUUCAAAGAGUCGGAUUGUUUGGGAAUGCAGUCCAAAAUGGGUGGUAAAUUUCAUCUAAAGCUAAAUAUUGGCGAGAGACCGAUAGCGAACAAGUACCGUGAGGGAAAGAUGAAAAGAACUUUGAAAAGAGAGUUAAACAGUACGUGAAAUUGUCAAAAGGGAAGCGUUUGACACCAGUGUUGUUUUUCUGAAAAUCAAUUAAAGAACUGUUUAUGCUAAGCUGUUUAGACUUUAUCAGCUAUCUGUUUAGUUUUGAGCUUUUCUUUAAUGCACUUUUCAGUUAACAAGUCAACAUCAAUUUCUUUUGCUGUAAAAAAGCUUGAGGAAGGUGGCUUGAGAUUCGUCUUAAGUGUUUAUAGCCUCUUGCCUAUGCAGUCGGAGAGAUUGAGGUCUGCAGCGUAGAUCCUUCGGGGCUAAAAUGCAUUUGUGCUGAGUUAUAGCAUUUUAUAGACAACUUGUUGACUAUGAUUAGUCUUGUAGCUUACUCGCUUAUGUUAUUUUACCUACGCUUAGGAUGUUGAGUCAUCACACAUCUCU
RNAcentral lists this ribosomal RNA (775 nucleotides) under uncultured Neocallimastigales. RNAcentral's name for it is "partial large subunit ribosomal RNA". It matches the Rfam family "Eukaryotic large subunit ribosomal RNA", at positions 24 to 614 of the family's 3401-position model. Lineage: Eukaryota; Fungi; Neocallimastigomycota; Neocallimastigomycetes; Neocallimastigales. The record is from RNAcentral.